This 253-nucleotide ribosomal RNA is filed under the name uncultured bacterium. RNAcentral's name for it is "partial 16S ribosomal RNA". It matches the Rfam family "Bacterial small subunit ribosomal RNA", at positions 524 to 776 of the family's 1533-position model. The record is from RNAcentral.
GACGAACCGUCCGAACGUUAUUCGGAAUCAUUGGGCGUAAAGCGCGUGUAGGCGGUCCGGUAAGUCCGCUGUGAAAGUCGGGGGCUCAACCCUCGGAUGCCGGUGGAUACUGUCGGGCUUGAGUACGGAAGAGGCGAGUGGAAUUCCUGGUGUAGCGGUGAAAUGCGCAGAUAUCAGGAGGAACACCAAUUGCGAAGGCAGCUCGCUGGGACGUUACUGACGCUGAGACGCGAAAGCGUGGGGAGCAAACAGG